AAACCAACAGGGAUUGCCUUAGUAGCGGCGAGUGAAGCGGCAAAAGCUCAAAUUUGAAAUCUGGCUCUUUCAGAGUCCGAGUUGUAAUUUGAAGAAGGUAUCUUUGGGCCUGGCUCUUGUCUAUGUUUCUUGGAACAGAACGUCACAGAGGGUGAGAAUCCCGUGCGAUGAGAUGACCCAGGUCUAUGUAAAGUUCCUUCGACGAGUCGAGUUGUUUGGGAAUGCAGCUCUAAGUGGGUGGUAAAUUCCAUCUAAAGCUAAAUAUUGGCGAGAGACCGAUAGCGAACAAGUACAGUGAUGGAAAGAUGAAAAGAACUUUGAAAAGAGAGUGAAAAAGUACGUGAAAUUGUUGAAAGGGAAGGGCUUGAGAUCAGACUUGGUAUUUUGCAUGUUGUUCCCUCGGGGGCGGCCUCUGCGUUUUACCGGGCCAGCAUCAGUUUGGGCGGUAGGACAAUCGCGCGGGAACGUGGCACGGCCUCGGCUGUGUGUUAUAGCCCGUGUGGAUACUGCCAGCCUAGACUGAGGACUGCGGUUUAUACCUAGGAUGUUGGCAUAAUGAUCUUAAGUCGC
RNAcentral lists this ribosomal RNA (570 nucleotides) under Insectozyma prachuapensis. RNAcentral describes it as "eukaryotic LSU rRNA". It matches the Rfam family "Eukaryotic large subunit ribosomal RNA", at positions 62 to 648 of the family's 3401-position model. The record is from RNAcentral. Lineage: Eukaryota; Fungi; Ascomycota; Pichiomycetes; Serinales; Debaryomycetaceae.